RNAcentral lists this non-coding RNA (3539 nucleotides) under Pongo abelii (Sumatran orangutan). Lineage: Eukaryota; Metazoa; Chordata; Mammalia; Primates; Hominidae. The record is from RNAcentral.
GCACGCGCGCCGGAUGCCCUGGCCUAGGUAGGGCAGUUGACCUCGGGUUCUCCCGGGCACAGCCGAAUCCACGCCAGGGCCCGCAGGCCGGUGGCUGUCCUGCAAUCCGAGCGGAGCUGCGACCUCGGGCAGCUGGAAGCCUGUGGGCUGCUGCUUCUCCAGGCAGGCGGCGGAGGGAUGCAGGCAGGAUGAGCGGCGGUCCCUUUGCCGCCAUCCGGAGAACCGCGGCUAGUGCCCUUGAAGGCGCUGGGAUGCCUGGGUUGGGUGGGUGGGUGAACGAGAACCCUGCGUGAGUGAGGGGAGGGCGGGUCCCCUCCUGGCUUCAAAUUCAACCCAAUCAGCUCUGCCGAUGGUUUGAAACUGCACACGCCGACCCACCCGCCCCGAAGUCUGAAAGUUAUGCCCGGGAGACCUGCGAGCUGCGGAGUGCCGCUGGAGAGGGAGUUGCCCCACGAGGCGGCCUCCAGAAUAACUCCCGGAGUCGGAACAGCGCUGGGCUGCUGAAGUUUGCAGCCUCCGGAUCCGCGCCCCGCCCUGCAGAUCCACCGGAUUUCGGGAGGGAAUCGGGGGGCUGCCCGUCCUCCCGUAAAGCUGACUUGACAACAAUUACGGAAGUUUUUAAUUAGCUCCUUAUUAUAAUUCAUUUUAUUUCCAGAACUCUCCGACCAUAAAUUAUUCAAAGAGUAAGCCAACCCGAGUGGGGCGGCCGCGCGCCUUCCCCACACGCGCCGAGCUGGCUUUGGCCGCUCAGCUCACCCGAUGCCCCGUGAGCCAGCCCCGCGCCAGAAGCCGCGGUGGCAGGAAGGUUUGAUCAAACAUUAAAUAACGUAAUGUUUGCGACAAGGCUUAUCUCGCAAGUGGAAAAGAGGUCCUCGUGAGAAUUAGAAUUCGGCUGCUAUUUUAAAAAAUCAAUUAAGCUUGCGGUCUUUUUUGAAACAGCUCGAAAGGACUGCGUGGCUGUCAUCGUGGCGCUAAGACUGAGAUGGCAAUAACACCGAUGGCAGAACUGUACCAGUAUUAAUUGUCAUCACCUUUAUCAUCCCGCUGGCCACCAAAGCCGUUCGAAUGGGGUGGGAAACGCUAGUUUUAGCCAGGAUCAGAAGCCCCAGUUCCAACUUCACGGACGAAAAACUGCGAAAGCCUAUCAACGUGAAAGAUGAGUAGGGAUACUUCACGCAGGUGCCAGGUGCGAUCAGGAGAGGCCGGGGCGGCGGGGCAGAGGCAGAGGGCAGGGCUCGCUGAGUGAGUCCUGCGGGCUUGGGGCGCCCUGUGCUCUCCGUGCGCUGCCACGUGUAGGAGGAACCGGACCGAAGUAGUCUCAGUAUCACAAGAAAACAAAAAUCGAUACAAUCACGGCAGUGGGUGCCUACAGUUUAUUUAUGAAACUGCAAUCGAAGUUGAGAGCAAUUUCAGAACACGCAUUAAACAAAAAUUAUUUAGAAGUUAGUUGAUGGGUCUUGAGGACAUAAUUUUUUUAGACCUACAGAAGGAACAGGACCUGGAGCUAGAACUGGGGAAAAGAGGAAAUUUAAGACAAAUGGAUGGCAUAAAUGUGGCAGAUGCUUUAAUGCUUAUUUGUCUUUUGCUUUUCCUAUUCCACCCCCGCCGCCGCCUGGAUUUCCUGAGAAGCUGAAAUGCAAACGGAGCCCAAUUUUCCCACUCAAACUUAUUUUGAGAUUAUUCUUUAAAAGAAUCCGAGACACACAUUUUAUCAUAUUCACCCCAAAACUGGUGGAGGAAUCCGCUUAGAGCGAACUCUUCAGAACUAGAAAACUUUGAAAGGCCAAACUAUCACUGAUUGACACCCACUUCAAUGAUAGUUUGGCCUCUUCAGGAGGUCCCUUUUUGUUUUUUUCAUGGAUUGACAGCUAAAGGCGUCUUAGAAUAGUCUUACUACUCCUUCAAGCCAUAUAUAGAUUCACUUACCAGAAAGCAUUUUUUUUUGUUUUGCACAGUUUCCUACUACAUAAAAUAGGAAAUUAAUUUUCAUGAUGUUUUAUUAACAUAAUACUCUUAUUUUUACUUGGUAAAGGUUUUAUUUAAAGCAAAUCCUUAAAUUCUUCAUACCUACAUUGAUCAUUAUUAUAUAAUACACAUGUAUUUGCCUGCAACAUUUCUGCUUGAGGCAGACUUAAAAAAAAAAAAAAAAAAAAAAAACACCCUUUGUAAAUCUUUUCAUUUGUUCAGUCCUGUUUUUCCAACAAUGAAAUCCAGUCAUACUUUUCUAGAAAAUAACGGGUUUUUUACAAUUGCAUUUUAUUUAAAACUGAUGAUGUUUCAAGUCAGUAACAACAAAAACAAAUCAACUUUUUAUGGAAGAGUUCUAUGUUUAAAAAUACCUCUAGUGCUUUUUUUUUUUUUUUAACAUUAACAACUGUUUAAAAUCACAGCUUUUAAAAUGUACUAUUCUUUUUGAACAUCAAGUGUUUUGCUUCACAGAUGUGCCGGUGAAAUUAAAAAGAUUUGGCUAAAAUAAGAUGACUUCAGAUGAUAUAAUCUCAGCUCUUAAGAAACUUUGUACAUUUGGCAUCUGAUCUAGUCCCAAGUCACCAAGAAAUAGAGGCUCUCUAGUCACUCUGGAGCAGUAGGUGGCACACUAAAUGUUUUAAAAUGUAUUACCCUCCAAAGAAAAGCCAUUCAGUUACUAGGUGUUUUUAGGCUAGAAUAUCACAUCUAAACCUCCAAAUUCCUCUGUCCCUGACCCUAAAUUUAAAUGUUGUUUGGGUGCCUGGUUAUUUAUUGGUUUUCACCACUCUGGAUCAAGUGCUGUGGUUUAAGAGUUUCUGCAGUUAAAAAAUAAUAAUAAUAACUUUUAUAAACACAGGUAACUAAUAUAGAAUUCAUUUUAUUUAGAGCACCACUUUUCACGAGUUAUCUGAAAGUGAAUUCUGAUUCAGCAAAAAAAUACAUCAUUCUCAAUCUCUCCCCUUUUCAUCCCCCUUCAACACCCUACCCUCCCCCCAUUUCUCUGUGUUUUCUUUUUGUUUGGUUGGUUGAGGUUUUUUUGGCUAUAUAUCUCAUUUGUUGAAAGGUUCUACCAGGACCUGGCCCAGUAUAAACACAAAAAUGCACCCAAAUCAUAAAACUGCUCUUCUUUCAGUUAUGUUUUAUUUGUAAGUGUACUGGGACACAUCCCCCUGUUGUAUUUUGGCGCACAGAAUUGGUUCUGAUAGAAGUAGGGGAGGAGAAAGGUAAAAGAGAAAAGACAUAACCAAGGAGAAAGCUCAGCAGACAUACAUGGACAGGUAGAUCAAUCCGUGAGACAUUUCAGGAUGAACACUGGCAGUCUGUUACCAUUGUGUGAAUGUGUGCAUUAAAUAAAAUAUUUACAAUAAUCUUUUUUCCUUUUCCUUUGAAUACAAGAAUAUGACAAAAAUGUUGUGUUUUCAGUGGAAACAGGCAGUAGACUGUGAAAUCGCACUAUCCACAAAACGGUCUACCAGAAAGCUAGCCCAGUUUAGUGUUCAGUUUCAAAUGCAUAGAAUGUUUGCCCUGCAAACAAUGAUAUACAACAUAAUUAAAUAAAUAAUGCCUAACCA